RNAcentral lists this transfer RNA (83 nucleotides) under Omnitrophica WOR_2 bacterium RIFCSPHIGHO2_01_FULL_52_10. RNAcentral describes it as "tRNA-Leu". It matches the Rfam family "tRNA". From Rfam's summary of the family: Transfer RNA (tRNA) molecules are approximately 80 nucleotides in length. The record is from RNAcentral. Lineage: Bacteria; Pseudomonadati; Candidatus Omnitrophota. RNAcentral also lists the same sequence under 1 other name.
GCCGAAGUGGCGGAAUGGCAGACGCGGCGGUCUCAAAAACCGUUGUCCUCAAAGACAUGUGGGUUCGACUCCCUCCUUCGGCA